This 640-nucleotide long non-coding RNA is filed under the name Sorghum bicolor (sorghum). Its description in RNAcentral is "long non-coding RNA (SBIC_LNC018647)". Lineage: Eukaryota; Viridiplantae; Streptophyta; Magnoliopsida; Poales; Poaceae. The record is from RNAcentral.
AAGAUGAGGCUUGGCUUGAUGGACCGGUUGCAAGAGUGAAGGGCAAGUCGGAGGCUUUGAAGCGAGGGACCGCGUGUGACGGUGAAGCUUGAGCAAGACUUGGCGCCGAUGGACCGAGGCAACGGUGAAGAGCAAGUGAGGUCAAGAUCGAUGAACCAAUACGGUCACAUGAUGAUAUGAAGUGGAUCAUAUCAUUUGGUGAUUGGUUGGUGCAUGCACUGUUCGCCUAAACGGCCGUUUAGACCGUUUAUACGCCGUGUAAACGCUACACAAUGAUACACCGUUUCCGUUUAAUCAUCUGUUUAGUCCGUUUAAUUGACCGUUUAGCCCGUUUAAUGGACUGUUUAGCCCGAAUAGUGGCUAAACGGCAGGUGACCGACCGUUUACCGUUUAGCGUUUAGGAAAACAUUGGGUGCAUGUGUUGCAUCAACAUUGGAGGAGAUGGAAUGGAAAGCGCAAGGCAAAGGUAUAACCUAGGGUAUUUCCAUUUCACCGGUCAUAGGUGUGUAGAGAAGUUUAUGACCGGAUUUAGGAUAGAUGGCCGUACUAUCAAGAGGGGCAAACUUGUUUGCAUAUCGGUCAUCUAAUGCCACUUCAGCGAUCUAACUUUGCAUACGUGUUAGGAUCGAGUGGCGUGGCA